RNAcentral lists this long non-coding RNA (1532 nucleotides) under Homo sapiens (human). RNAcentral's name for it is "PREDICTED lncRNA (TCONS_00067663)". Lineage: Eukaryota; Metazoa; Chordata; Mammalia; Primates; Hominidae. The record is from RNAcentral.
ACUGUGAAGUCACAAGAGGCCCUGAGCUCUGUGGGCCCCAGGUGCCCCGGGAAAACUUGGGGGAGAAUGGGCAUCCCACCCCAGCACUUUCUAGGAAGAAGGGCAGCAUUUUGAAGGGCUGGAAGUAGAGGAAGGAGGUUGCGGGUAGAAGACUCCAUACUUUCUGUGACGCCUAUUCCUUAGUCAGAGGCAUGGCUUGCCUGGGCCUCUGGGUGCAGCUGCACAGAUUCAAGCAGCCUGAAGGAAAGGUGACUGACAGCUAAUGAUCUGAAAAGAACUUGUCUCAACUCAACGUCAUUCCUGGCAUUAUCGAACAAAGCAAUAAACCUCACAGAAUGGAAGCUACAGUGUCCAGGGCCAGCUCUGCUAAGGUAACCAAAGACAGAGAAGGAGGCAAAAGUGACAGAAGAAACUCAUGGGAAACCAACAGAAAUAUAAUGGCUUUGGCAGAAAUGCAAUUAUCAAUUGGGAGCUUGUGAUGAAUGUUUUCUCAGUAUCCUAUGCUGAAAACAGGUAGAUACUAAUAUCGAUCUUCAAGGGAGGGCUGUUGAGUAUUGAAUAAGACAAAAACAUGGAAGCAAUCAGCACCAUGCUGGAGAGCCUUUAUAUAACCAAAGAUAUUUUUGGACCAUGAAUUCAGAAAUUCUCGGAGCCACCCAUCAGUGCCUGAGCUUCAGUGAGUCCAUAUCCCAUGUCACCCACGGCAAAGGAGACUCUAAGACUUCUGAAGAGUUUCUUGCUUCUUUCCUGUGGGGCAGUGACUCCACUUCCCAGCAGUAAUGGAAUAUCCUGAAUUAGCUACAUUAAUGUUAGAACCAUUUGGACCUCACCCAGGACUUCAACUACAUUAUGAGUAACUCCUGGACGAUUGGCACAGAAGAAGGCACAAGGCAAAUACCCAUCUCUGUACACCCUGUGCUACUGUGUCAUGUGCUGCUCCAGGCAACUCCAAUGGAUUGGCCACCCUGGCCAAUGUGUUCUAGUAUGUUACGUUUAUGUUCCCCUGCUUUCUACAAUCCUGUUCAAAGAGUUGCUGACUUAACCACAGAGAGGAUUCCAGAACCUGAGACACAGAAUAAACUUGAGCAAUCAUAGUCCAUCCACUUCAUUGUCUCAUCAAAAACCAAAGGUCCAGUGAAGCUCUGGAACUCAACGCUGUAAAGGAGCGAAGGAGCUUCUAUACAGAGCCUGGAUGCCUGUCUCCUUAUCCUACUUCAGUGGACUUGACUGCAAUCCGGAUUAUGCUGUUUUCUAAGCAUUUAAAAUAAAAUAAAAAGUAUAAUAGUGUGAUAAGUUCUUUCACAAAGCAAGCAAUCACAUUUAUGUUUCUACUUACAUUUGGGUUUUCCAAAUAUGUGUGUGUGUGUGUGUGUGUGUGUGUGUGUGUGUAUGUAGACUUUAAACAUGGUGCAUCCAUCAUGUUGCACUAAAUCAAAACCACCAAAUAAUGAUGUAGAACUAAUAAAUCAAAACCAUCAAAUAAUGACAUAGAAAUCCAAUUCUCCCACCUUACACCCAUUAAGAUGGCUACU